This 482-nucleotide ribosomal RNA is filed under the name uncultured bacterium. RNAcentral's name for it is "bacterial SSU rRNA". It matches the Rfam family "Bacterial small subunit ribosomal RNA", at positions 30 to 506 of the family's 1533-position model. The record is from RNAcentral.
UUGAACGCUGGCGGAAUGCUUUACACAUGCAAGUCGGGCGGCAGCGCGGGGGCAACCCUGGCGGCGAGCGGCGAACGGGUGAGUAACAUAUCGGAACGUACCCAGACGUUGGGGACAACUAGUCGAAAGACUAGCUAAUACCGCAUACGUCCUGAGGGAGAAAGCGGGGGAUCGCAAGACCUCGCGCGUUUGGAGCGGCCGAUAUCUGAUUAGCUAGAUGGUGGGGUAAAGGCCCACCAUGGCGACGAUCAGUAGCUGGUCUGAGAGGAUGAUCAGCCACACUGGAACUGAGACACGGUCCAGACUCCUACGGGAGGCAGCAGUGGGGAAUUUUGGACAAUGGGGGAAACCCUGAUCCAGCCAUUCCGCGUGAGUGAAGAAGGCCUUCGGGUUGUAAAGCUCUUUCGGUAGGAACGAAACGGCGGAAUCUAAUACAUUCCACUAAUGACGGUACCUGAAGAAGAAGCACCGGCUAACUACGU